AUGGGUGGGGUAGGAUUUUUUUAAGCUUGUAGAGUAGCCCUUCAUGCCAUACUUUAUCGAAUGCCUGUUGGAUGUCUAGGAAUACGGCUGAGCAGUAUUUUUCCUUUUCAAGGGUUUGGCUGAUCAUGUGGGUUAUGCGUUUCCCAGAUCCAAACUUAUACACGAGAAACAGUUCUUUAACUGACACGCGAUCAGCUUCGAAACUAAAAUAUUUGUUACUUUUUUCGCACAAAGAUUUUCGGAGACUGAUCUUUGCAGAAAGUUCGACGCAGCCACGACACACGUGAAACUAUUCCAAUGACAUACAGUAGGCAAACGUUUAAAACGCGAACGCUAUCAGCACUUCUCGUGAUUUGCACAGGCG
Molecule: unclassified non-coding RNA, 364 nt
Filed under: Bombus terrestris (buff-tailed bumblebee)
Lineage: Eukaryota; Metazoa; Arthropoda; Insecta; Hymenoptera; Apidae
Description: misc RNA ENSBTSG00005036792.1
Source: RNAcentral